RNAcentral lists this ribosomal RNA (259 nucleotides) under uncultured prokaryote. Its description in RNAcentral is "partial 16S ribosomal RNA". It matches the Rfam family "Bacterial small subunit ribosomal RNA", at positions 524 to 782 of the family's 1533-position model. The record is from RNAcentral.
UACGUAGGGUGCGAGCGUUGUCCGGAAUUACUGGGCGUAAAGGGCGCGCAGGCUGUUAUGCGAGUCUGCUGUGAAAUGUACCGGCUCAACCGGUGCCUUGCGGCGGAUACUGCAUAGCUGGAGUACUGGAGAGGGAAGUGGAAUUCCCUGUGUAGCGGUGAAAUGCGUAGAUAUCGGGAGGAACACCGGUGGCGAAGGCGGCUUUCUGGCCAGUUACUGACGCUCAUGCGCGAAAGCUGGGGUAGCGAACCGGAUUAGA